This 497-nucleotide ribosomal RNA is filed under the name uncultured bacterium. RNAcentral's name for it is "partial 16S ribosomal RNA". It matches the Rfam family "Bacterial small subunit ribosomal RNA", at positions 28 to 507 of the family's 1533-position model. The record is from RNAcentral.
GAUGAACGCUGGCGGCGUGCCUAAUACAUGCAAGUUGAGCGAACGGACGAGAAGCUUGCUUCUCUGAUGUUAGCGGCGGACGGGUGAGUAACACGUGGAUAACCUACCUAUAAGACUGGGAUAACUUCGGGAAACCGUAGCUAAUACCGGAUAAUAUUUUGAACCGCAUGGUUCAAAAGUGAAAGACGGUCUUGCUGUCACUUAUAGAUGGAUCCGCGCUGCAUUAGCUAGUUGGUAAGGUAACGGCUUACCAAGGCAACGAUGCAUAGCCGACCUGAGAGGGUGAUCGGCCACACUGGAACUGAGACACGGUCCAGACUCCUACGGGAGGCAGCAGUAGGGAAUCUUCCGCAAAGGGCGAAAGCCUGACGGAGCAACGCCGCGUGAGUGAUGAAGGUCUUCGGAUCGUAAAACUCUGUUAUUAGGGAAGAACAUAUGUGUAAGUAACUGUGCACAUCUUGACGGUACCUAAUCAGAAAGCCACGGCUAACUACGUG